GCUAGUCGUACGAGUUCAUACUCGUGGCGAAUAGCUCAGUAACACGUGGCCAAACUACCCUUCGGACCACAAUACCCUCGGGAAACUGAGGCUAAUAGUGUCUACCACAGUCCACCUGGAAUGAGGACUGUGCCAAACGCUCCGGCGCCGAAGGAUGUGGCUGCGGCCGAUUAGGUAGACGGUGGGGUAACGGCCCACCGUGCCAAUAAUCGGUACGGGUCAUGAGAGUGAGAACCCGGAGACGGAAUCUGAGACAAGAUUCCGGGCCCUACGGGGCGCAGCAGGCGCGAAACCUUUACACUGCACGACAGUGCGAUAAGGGAAUCCCAAGUGCACAGGCAUAGAGCCUGUGCUUUUGUACACCCUAGGGCGGUGUACGAAUAAGGGCUGGGCAAGACCGGUGCCAGCCGCCGCGGUAAUACCGGCAGCCCAAGUGAUGGCCGAUCUUAUUGGGCCUAAAGCGUCCGUAGCUGGCCGCACAAGUCCAUCGGGAAAUCCACCUGCCCAACAGGUGGACGCCCGGUGGAAACUGUGUGGCUUGGGACCGGAAGGCGCGACGGGUACGUCCGGGGUAGGAGUGAAAUCCCGUAAUCCUGGACGGACCGCCGAUGGCGAAAGCACGUCGCGAAAACGGAUCCGACAGUGAGGGACGAAAGCCAGGGUCUCGAACCGGAUUAGAUACCCGGGUAGUCCUGGCCGUAAACAAUGUCUGUUAGGUGUGGCUCCCACUACGAGUGGGUGCUGUGCCGUAGGGAAGCCGCUAAACAGACCGCCUGCAAUGUCUGUUAGGUGUGGCUCCCACUACGAGUGGGUGCUGUGCCGUAGGGAAGCCGCUAAACAGACCGCCUGGGAAGUACGUCCGCAAGGAUGAAACUUAAAGGAAUUGGCGGGGGAGCACUACAACCGGAGGAGCCUGCGGUUUAAUUGGACUCAACGCCGGACAUCUCACCAGCAUCGACUGUGAUAAUGACGACCAGGUUGAUGACCUUGUCCGAGUUUCAGAGAGGAGGUGCAUGGCCGCCGUCAGCUCGUACCGUGAGGCGUCCUGUUAAGUCAGGCAACGAGCGAGACCCGCAUCCCUACUUGCCAGCAGUACUUCACAGUAGCUGGGGACAGUACGGAGACCGCCGUGGCCAACACGGAGGAAGGAACGGGCAACGGUAGGUCAGUAUGCCCCGAAUGUGCUGGGCAACACGCGGGCUACAAUGGUCGAGACAAAGGGUUCCAACUCCGAAAGGAGACGGUAAUCUCAGAAACUCGAUCGUAGUUCGGAUUGUGGGCUGCAACUCGCCCACAUGAAGCUGGAUUCGGUAGUAAUCGCGUGUCACAAGCGCGCGGUGAAUACGUCCCUGCUCCUUGCACACACCGCCCGUCAAAGCACCCGAGUGAGGUCCGGAUGAGGCACGUUCCACGUGUCGAAU
Molecule: ribosomal RNA, 1421 nt
Filed under: Halorubrum sp.
Lineage: Archaea; Methanobacteriati; Methanobacteriota; Halobacteria; Halobacteriales; Haloferacaceae
Description: bacterial SSU rRNA
Rfam family: Archaeal small subunit ribosomal RNA
Source: RNAcentral